CAAUAGCGUAUAUUAAAGUUGUUGCGGUUAAAAAGCUCGUAGUUGGAUUUCUGUUGGGAACGACCGGUCCGCCCAUUGGGUGUGUAUCUGGCUUGUUCUCGGCAUCUUCUUGGUGAACGUUGCUGCACUUGACUGUGUGGAGCGCUACCCAGGACUUUUACUUUGAGGAAAUUAGAGUGUUUCAAGCAGGCAUAUGCCUUGAAUACAUCAGCAUGGAAUAAUAAGAUAGGACCUCGGUUCUAUUUUGUUGGUUUCUAGAGCUGAGGUAAUGAUUAAUAGGGAUAGUUGGGGGCAUUCGUAUUUAACUGUCAGAGGUGAAAUUCUUGGAUUUGUUAGAGACGGACUACUGCGAAAGCAUUUGCCAAGGAUGUUUUCAUUGA
Molecule: ribosomal RNA, 380 nt
Filed under: uncultured eukaryote
Lineage: Eukaryota
Description: partial 18S ribosomal RNA
Rfam family: Eukaryotic small subunit ribosomal RNA
Source: RNAcentral